This 467-nucleotide ribosomal RNA is filed under the name uncultured bacterium. RNAcentral describes it as "partial 16S ribosomal RNA". It matches the Rfam family "Bacterial small subunit ribosomal RNA", at positions 28 to 507 of the family's 1533-position model. The record is from RNAcentral.
GACGAACGCUGCGGCGUGCUUAACACAUGCAAGUCGAACGGAAAGGCCCUGCUUUUGUGGGGUGCUCGAGUGGCGAACGGGUGAGUAACACGUGAGUAACCUGCCCUUGACUUUGGGAUAACUUCAGGAAACUGGGGCUAAUACCGGAUAGGAGCUCCUGCUGCAUGGUGGGGGUUGGAAAGUUUCGGCGGUUGGGGAUGGACUCGCGGCUUAUCAGCUUGUUGGUGGGGUAGUGGCUUACCAAGGCUUUGACGGGUAGCCGGCCUGAGAGGGUGACCGGCCACAUUGGGACUGAGAUACGGCCCAGACUCCUACGGGAGGCAGCAGUGGCGAAUAUUGCACAAUGGGCGGAAGCCUGAUGCAGCAACGCCGCGUGCGGGAUGACGGCCUUCGGGUUGUAAACCGCUUUCGCCUGUGACGAAGCGUGAGUGACGGUAAUGGGUAAAGAAGCACCGGCUAACUACGUG